AGUGAGGAAUAUUGCGCAAUGGGGGCAACCCUGACGCAGCGACGCCGCGUGGAUGAUGAAGGCCUUCGGGUUGUAAAAUCCUGUCAGAUGGGAAGAAAUGUAUGGGUAUUAAUAGUGCCCGUAUUUGACGGUACCAUCAAAGGAAGCACCGGCUAACUCCGUGCCAGCAGCCGCGGUAAUACGGAGGGUGCGAGCGUUGUUCGGAAUUACUGGGCGUAAAGCGCGCGUAGGCGGCUCUUUAAGUCAUUUGUGAAAGUCCACGGCUCAACCGUGGAAGUGCAUGUGAAACUGGAGGGCUUGAGUACUGGAGGGGGUGGUGGAAUUCCCGGUGUAGAGGUGAAAUUCGUAGAUAUCGGGAGGAAUACCGGUGGCGAAGGCGACCACCUGGCCAGAUACUGACGCUGAGGUGCGAAAGCGUGGGGAGCAGACAGGAUUAGAUACCCUGGUAGUCCACGCCGUAAACGAUGUCAACUAGGUGUUGGGAUGGUUAAUCGUCUCAUUGCCGGAGCAAACGCAUUAAGUUGACCGCCUGGGGAGUACGGUCGCAAGAUUA
RNAcentral lists this ribosomal RNA (553 nucleotides) under uncultured bacterium. RNAcentral's name for it is "bacterial SSU rRNA". It matches the Rfam family "Bacterial small subunit ribosomal RNA", at positions 353 to 896 of the family's 1533-position model. The record is from RNAcentral.